This 1464-nucleotide ribosomal RNA is filed under the name Lactiplantibacillus plantarum. Its description in RNAcentral is "bacterial SSU rRNA". It matches the Rfam family "Bacterial small subunit ribosomal RNA". Lineage: Bacteria; Bacillati; Bacillota; Bacilli; Lactobacillales; Lactobacillaceae. The record is from RNAcentral.
UGGCGGCGUGCCUAAUACAUGCAAGUCGAACGAACUCUGGUAUUGAUUGGUGCUUGCAUCAUGAUUUACAUUUGAGUGAGUGGCGAACUGGUGAGUAACACGUGGGAAACCUGCCCAGAAGCGGGGGAUAACACCUGGAAACAGAUGCUAAUACCGCAUAACAACUUGGACCGCAUGGUCCGAGCUUGAAAGAUGGCUUCGGCUAUCACUUUUGGAUGGUCCCGCGGCGUAUUAGCUAGAUGGUGGGGUAACGGCUCACCAUGGCAAUGAUACGUAGCCGACCUGAGAGGGUAAUCGGCCACAUUGGGACUGAGACACGGCCCAAACUCCUACGGGAGGCAGCAGUAGGGAAUCUUCCACAAUGGACGAAAGUCUGAUGGAGCAACGCCGCGUGAGUGAAGAAGGGUUUCGGCUCGUAAAACUCUGUUGUUAAAGAAGAACAUAUCUGAGAGUAACUGUUCAGGUAUUGACGGUAUUUAACCAGAAAGCCACGGCUAACUACGUGCCAGCAGCCGCGGUAAUACGUAGGUGGCAAGCGUUGUCCGGAUUUAUUGGGCGUAAAGCGAGCGCAGGCGGUUUUUUAAGUCUGAUGUGAAAGCCUUCGGCUCAACCGAAGAAGUGCAUCGGAAACUGGGAAACUUGAGUGCAGAAGAGGACAGUGGAACUCCAUGUGUAGCGGUGAAAUGCGUAGAUAUAUGGAAGAACACCAGUGGCGAAGGCGGCUGUCUGGUCUGUAACUGACGCUGAGGCUCGAAAGUAUGGGUAGCAAACAGGAUUAGAUACCCUGGUAGUCCAUACCGUAAACGAUGAAUGCUAAGUGUUGGAGGGUUUCCGCCCUUCAGUGCUGCAGCUAACGCAUUAAGCAUUCCGCCUGGGGAGUACGGCCGCAAGGCUGAAACUCAAAGGAAUUGACGGGGGCCCGCACAAGCGGUGGAGCAUGUGGUUUAAUUCGAAGCUACGCGAAGAACCUUACCAGGUCUUGACAUACUAUGCAAAUCUAAGAGAUUAGACGUUCCCUUCGGGGACAUGGAUACAGGUGGUGCAUGGUUGUCGUCAGCUCGUGUCGUGAGAUGUUGGGUUAAGUCCCGCAACGAGCGCAACCCUUAUUAUCAGUUGCCAGCAUUAAGUUGGGCACUCUGGUGAGACUGCCGGUGACAAACCGGAGGAAGGUGGGGAUGACGUCAAAUCAUCAUGCCCCUUAUGACCUGGGCUACACACGUGCUACAAUGGAUGGUACAACGAGUUGCGAACUCGCGAGAGUAAGCUAAUCUCUUAAAGCCAUUCUCAGUUCGGAUUGUAGGCUGCAACUCGCCUACAUGAAGUCGGAAUCGCUAGUAAUCGCGGAUCAGCAUGCCGCGGUGAAUACGUUCCCGGGCCUUGUACACACCGCCCGUCACACCAUGAGAGUUUGUAACACCCAAAGUCGGUGGGGUAACCUUUUAGGAACCAGCCGCCUAAGGUGAC